GGGCUCGGCUUACGUGCAGGACAAUUCACGGACGUGAAGCAGCUGGACAGUGAGGCUUGGACGGAGCUGCUGGACGUUGGCGAGGAUUCGGCUUGCUGUGGUUGCGUGGACGGCUUCAACAGACGCUGCUUCGGUUGCUCGAUGUUGAGGCCGCUGGAAGAAAAGGCCGAACUGGUGGGCUCGAUGGAGAUGGGAUGAGCGAACUGCACGUGGGGAUGGCGUCGGUUGAGAAGGAGAUGGACAAAGAUGGCAGCAUCCGUGGAAGACCGAAUAUGAGAGGAGAAUAAAGGAACGGGCAGCGUCGGUUUAUGGAAAAGAAAAC
This 322-nucleotide long non-coding RNA is filed under the name Eucalyptus grandis. RNAcentral describes it as "long non-coding RNA (EGRA_LNC000967)". Lineage: Eukaryota; Viridiplantae; Streptophyta; Magnoliopsida; Myrtales; Myrtaceae. The record is from RNAcentral.